Molecule: ribosomal RNA, 2901 nt
Filed under: Enterobacter hormaechei
Lineage: Bacteria; Pseudomonadati; Pseudomonadota; Gammaproteobacteria; Enterobacterales; Enterobacteriaceae
Description: bacterial LSU rRNA
Rfam family: Bacterial large subunit ribosomal RNA
Source: RNAcentral
UAAGCGACUAAGCGUACACGGUGGAUGCCCUGGCAGUCAGAGGCGAUGAAGGACGUGCUAAUCUGCGAAAAGCGCCGGCGAGGUGAUAUGAACCUUUGACCCGGCGAUGUCCGAAUGGGGAAACCCAGUGCAAUUCGUUGCACUAUCGUUAACUGAAUACAUAGGUUAACGAGGCGAACCGGGGGAACUGAAACAUCUAAGUACCCCGAGGAAAAGAAAUCAACCGAGAUUCCCCCAGUAGCGGCGAGCGAACGGGGAGCAGCCCGGAGUCUGAAUCAGCUUGUGUGUUAGUGGAACGGUCUGGAAAGUCCGACGGUACAGGGUGAUAGUCCCGUACACGAAAAUGCACAGGUUGUGAACUCGAAGAGUAGGGCGGGACACGUGGUAUCCUGUCUGAAUAUGGGGGGACCAUCCUCCAAGGCUAAAUACUCCUGACUGACCGAUAGUGAACCAGUACCGUGAGGGAAAGGCGAAAAGAACCCCGGCGAGGGGAGUGAAAAAGAACCUGAAACCGUGUACGUACAAGCAGUGGGAGCCUCUUUAUGGGGUGACUGCGUACCUUUUGUAUAAUGGGUCAGCGACUUAUAUUCUGUAGCAAGGUUAACCGUAUAGGGGAGCCGAAGGGAAACCGAGUCUUAACUGGGCGUUAAGUUGCAGGGUAUAGACCCGAAACCCGGUGAUCUAGCCAUGGGCAGGUUGAAGGUUGGGUAACACUAACUGGAGGACCGAACCGACUAAUGUUGAAAAAUUAGCGGAUGACCUGUGGCUGGGGGUGAAAGGCCAAUCAAACCGGGAGAUAGCUGGUUCUCCCCGAAAGCUAUUUAGGUAGCGCCUCGUGAACUCAUCUUCGGGGGUAGAGCACUGUUUCGGCUAGGGGGCCAUCCCGGCUUACCAACCCGAUGCAAACUACGAAUACCGAAGAAUGUUAUCACGGGAGACACACGGCGGGUGCUAACGUCCGUCGUGAAGAGGGAAACAACCCAGACCGCCAGCUAAGGUCCCAAAGUCAUGGUUAAGUGGGAAACGAUGUGGGAAGGCACAGACAGCCAGGAUGUUGGCUUAGAAGCAGCCAUCAUUUAAAGAAAGCGUAAUAGCUCACUGGUCGAGUCGGCCUGCGCGGAAGAUGUAACGGGGCUAAACCAUGCACCGAAGCUGCGGCAGCGACACUAUGUGUUGUUGGGUAGGGGAGCGUUCUGUAAGCCGUUGAAGGUGUGCUGUGAGGCAUGCUGGAGGUAUCAGAAGUGCGAAUGCUGACAUAAGUAACGAUAAAGCGGGUGAAAAGCCCGCUCGCCGGAAGACCAAGGGUUCCUGUCCAACGUUAAUCGGGGCAGGGUGAGUCGACCCCUAAGGCGAGGCCGAAAGGCGUAGUCGAUGGGAAACAGGUUAAUAUUCCUGUACUUGGUGUUACUGCGAAGGGGGGACGGAGAAGGCUAUGUCAGCCGGGCGACGGUUGUCCCGGUUUAAGCAUGUAGGCGGAGGUUCCAGGUAAAUCCGGUACCUUAUUAACGCUGAGGUGUGAUGACGAGGCACUACGGUGCUGAAGUGAUAAAUGCCCUGCUUCCAGGAAAAGCCUCUAAGCAUCAGGUAACACGAAAUCGUACCCCAAACCGACACAGGUGGUCAGGUAGAGAAUACCAAGGCGCUUGAGAGAACUCGGGUGAAGGAACUAGGCAAAAUGGUGCCGUAACUUCGGGAGAAGGCACGCUGAUGUGUAGGUGAAGCCCCUGCGGGUGGAGCUGAAAUCAGUCGAAGAUACCAGCUGGCUGCAACUGUUUAUUAAAAACACAGCACUGUGCAAACACGAAAGUGGACGUAUACGGUGUGACGCCUGCCCGGUGCCGGAAGGUUAAUUGAUGGGGUUAGCGGCAACGCGAAGCUCUUGAUCGAAGCCCCGGUAAACGGCGGCCGUAACUAUAACGGUCCUAAGGUAGCGAAAUUCCUUGUCGGGUAAGUUCCGACCUGCACGAAUGGCGUAAUGAUGGCCAGGCUGUCUCCACCCGAGACUCAGUGAAAUUGAACUCGCUGUGAAGAUGCAGUGUACCCGCGGCAAGACGGAAAGACCCCGUGAACCUUUACUAUAGCUUGACACUGAACACUGGUCCUUGAUGUGUAGGAUAGGUGGGAGGCUUUGAAGCGUGGACGCCAGUCUGCGUGGAGCCAACCUUGAAAUACCACCCUUUAAUGGCUGGUGUUCUAACGUAGACCCGUAAUCCGGGUUGCGGACAGUGUCUGGUGGGUAGUUUGACUGGGGCGGUCUCCUCCCAAAGAGUAACGGAGGAGCACGAAGGUUGGCUAAUCCUGGUCGGACAUCAGGAGGUUAGUGCAAUGGCAUAAGCCAGCUUGACUGCGAGCGUGACGGCGCGAGCAGGUGCGAAAGCAGGUCAUAGUGAUCCGGUGGUUCUGAAUGGAAGGGCCAUCGCUCAACGGAUAAAAGGUACUCCGGGGAUAACAGGCUGAUACCGCCCAAGAGUUCAUAUCGACGGCGGUGUUUGGCACCUCGAUGUCGGCUCAUCACAUCCUGGGGCUGAAGUAGGUCCCAAGGGUAUGGCUGUUCGCCAUUUAAAGUGGUACGCGAGCUGGGUUUAGAACGUCGUGAGACAGUUCGGUCCCUAUCUGCCGUGGGCGCUGGAGAAUUGAGGGGGGCUGCUCCUAGUACGAGAGGACCGGAGUGGACGCAUCACUGGUGUUCGGGUUGUCAUGCCAAUGGCACUGCCCGGUAGCUAAAUGCGGAAGAGAUAAGUGCUGAAAGCAUCUAAGCACGAAACUUGCCCCGAGAUGAGUUCUCCCUGAGACUUUAAGUCUCCUGAAGGAACGUUGAAGACGACGACGUUGAUAGGUCGGGUGUGUAAGCGCAGCGAUGCGUUGAGCUAACCGAUACUAAUGAACCGUGAGGCUUAACCU